Molecule: non-coding RNA, 97 nt
Organism: Armillaria borealis
Lineage: Eukaryota; Fungi; Basidiomycota; Agaricomycetes; Agaricales; Physalacriaceae
Source: the annotation of a GenBank genome assembly
GUCCGCCUAGCUCAAUCGGAUAGAGCGUCAGACUCUUACAAUGACAGGUGGUUUAGUGGGUAUCUGAAGGCUGCGAGUUCGACCCUCGCGGUGGGCU